This is a non-coding RNA of Artibeus jamaicensis (Jamaican fruit-eating bat), 417 nucleotides long. NCBI's taxonomy places the organism in Eukaryota, Metazoa, Chordata, Mammalia, Chiroptera, Phyllostomidae. The record is from the annotation of a RefSeq genome assembly.
AUGGAAACAAACCUUUUAAAUACUGAUGUAGCUUCCAGGAGUGCUGCCUGGGUAACUGUCAUGAGUCUUGUCAUAGGCACAGAGGGACAAAGCGUUCAGCAGCCCCCUGAGGUGACAGCAAUGGAAGGAGCCUCUGUCCAGGUCAACUGCAGCUACCAGACGACUGCGUUCAAAGGGCUGUUCUGGUACCAACAACGUGACGGCGGAACACCCACAUUUCUCUGUUACCAUGUUCUGGAUGGUUUGGCAAGAAGAGGUCAUUUUUCCUCGUUCCUUAGUCGCUCUGAUACAUACAGUUACCUUCUUCUGAAGGAGCUGCAGGUGAAAGACUCUGCCUCUUACCUCUGUGCUGUGAGUGACACAGUGAGUGUGAGGCCCCUUCAGCUGCACCAAAAUUCAAAGGCAGCCAGGCAGUGA